Molecule: non-coding RNA, 72 nt
Organism: Macrostomum lignano
Lineage: Eukaryota; Metazoa; Platyhelminthes; Macrostomidae
Source: Rfam
GGGGAUGUAGCUCAGAGGUAGAGCGUUCGCUUCGCAUGUGAAAGGUCUCGGGUUCGAACCCCGACUUCUCCA